RNAcentral lists this ribosomal RNA (504 nucleotides) under uncultured bacterium. Its description in RNAcentral is "bacterial SSU rRNA". It matches the Rfam family "Bacterial small subunit ribosomal RNA", at positions 8 to 507 of the family's 1533-position model. The record is from RNAcentral.
AGAGUUUGAUCAUGGCUCAGAUUGAACGCUGGCGGAAUGCUUUACACAUGCAAGUCGAGCGGCAGCGCGGGGGCAACCCUGGCGGCGAGCGGCGAACGGGUGAGUAAUGUAUCGGAACGUACCCAGUCGUGGGGGAUAACUAUUCGAAAGGAUAGCUAAUACCGCAUACGACCUGAGGGUGAAAGCGGGGGACCGAAAGGCCUCGCGCGAUUGGAGCGGCCGAUAUCGGAUUAGCUAGUUGGUGAGGUAAAGGCUCACCAAGGCGACGAUCCGUAGCUGGUCUGAGAGGACGACCAGCCACACUGGAACUGAGACACGGUCCAGACUCCUACGGGAGGCAGCAGUGGGGAAUUUUGGACAAUGGGGGCAACCCUGAUCCAGCCAUUCCGCGUGAGUGAAGAAGGCCUUCGGGUUGUAAAGCUCUUUCGGCCGGGAAGAAAUCGCAUGGGUUAAUACCCUGUGUGGAUGACGGUACCGGCAUAAGAAGCACCGGCUAACUACGUG